Molecule: long non-coding RNA, 170 nt
Organism: Malus domestica (apple)
Lineage: Eukaryota; Viridiplantae; Streptophyta; Magnoliopsida; Rosales; Rosaceae
Source: RefSeq, a predicted model, not a curated record
ACAGAGCAGGCCUAGUAAGAUUGGUUCUGAGAAACUGUAACAUUUCUGGAGAGAUUCCUCCAUACGUCUGGACAAUGCAAAACCUUGAAAUGUUGGAUGUCAGUUUUAACAAGUUAGCAGGGAAAAUUCCAGCCACAUUGAACUUAGAGCGUUUGAGAUUCCUGUAAGUA